RNAcentral lists this ribosomal RNA (417 nucleotides) under uncultured eukaryote. RNAcentral describes it as "SSU rRNA". It matches the Rfam family "Eukaryotic small subunit ribosomal RNA", at positions 567 to 990 of the family's 1831-position model. The record is from RNAcentral.
CCAGCAGCCGCGGUAAUUCCAGCUCCAAUAGCGUAUAUUUAAGUUGCUGCAGUUAAAAUGCUCGUAGUUGGAUUUCGGGUGGGAAUGGCCGGUCCGCCGUUUCGGUGUGCACUUGCUACGCCCACCUUGCUGCCGGGGACGUGCUCUUGAGUUCACGCUCGGGACACGGAGUCGGCGAGGUUACUUUGAGGAAAUUAGAGUGUUUCAAGCAGGCUUUCGCCUUGAAUAAUUUAGCAUGGAAUAAUAAUUUAGGACUUCGGUUCUAUUUCGUUGGUUUCUAGAACUGAAGUAAUGAUUAAUAGGGACAGUCGGGGGCAUUCGUACUCAACAGUCAGAGGUGAAAUUCUUGGAUUUGUUGGAGACGAACUACUGCGAAAGCAUUUGCCAAGGAUGUUUUCAUUGAUCAAGAACGAAAGU